AUGGGUAAAACUAUGCAUGGGCCUGGUCCAACUCCCACUUAAGUAAGUAGAAGGAUUCCUUUGAUGUUGAUGGGGGCUGGAUUGGGCAAUCGAUAUAUCUUGCUGUUUAUAUACAGUAGUGUACAAAAGUGUUAAUGCUCUAUAAAUUAGCAAAGACAUUAUUACCAUCUGAAUUUCCAGUGCAGAUAUAUUACCUAAAACAAGCAGUUCCAUGAGCAGUGGAACUAAUGAAGUCUAAUUUUCUAUGAUUUGUAUCUGAGGGUGAAUUUCCAUGUGGUUUCUCUGGAAGCUUUUCCUGUCAUGAGAGCAAUGAAUGGAUUUCCCUCCUCUCCCUGGCCACUUAUUUUCAUGAGAUUUGUAGAAAAUGAAUACAGAUGAGUCUUCUAGCUCUCUGUUGAAUUUGGUUAAAAGUAGACAGGAGGUUUACUAGGGGCUGGCAGAUAGGUGACAUAAAAACUUACAAAUGUUACAGUUACAAGCCACGUUCCUGGGGAAACUGGACUAAAAGAAGUAAAGGAAUGUGCACACUGGACUUUGUAUCAUCAGACUUUGAUAAUAUGCUAAAGGAACAGUUAAUAAGAAACCACAAAUGUAGAUUUAAAAGGAGCCAGAAGUAAUCUGAGUUUUAAUAAGCAACAGAGAAGUCUUGGUUAUCCCCUUAAGCACAGCUAUGCAUUACAUAACCUCAUGACUUCCCAGGGGACAGCAGAGGCAUCUUGUUCCAAUGAGACCCAAUGCCUCCUGGAGCUUCCCAGCAUGCAGACGGUAUUUGAAAUAUUUAUGGUACUGCUAAAUGCCUUUGGGACCAGGUGACUCUCCCAAGAAUUAAGAAUUGCUUUGUAAGCCAGAGCAGAAGGAGAACAUAACUUGCCUUGGUUCUUCACUCUGCCCUUUGGUAAAUGAAGUAGGGAAUAAUCUUACUUCAUUCCUGGGGAAUGCACUCCAAAGAACCAGGGAAAAGUCCUUAAGUGAGUCAGAGGAUGGAAAAGAAGAAUUCACAACAUCAGAUUUUUUUUUUUUCCCCAUUAUUCUUUAUUCUUUCCAUCCUCUAAAUCUGCAUCCUUGACAAGCGUGUUGCAGAAGUAACAAUACAAAUUUGGCCGAAGCCAUAUGGAUCAUUAGAAUUGACUUUGGGGUGUGAGAUGGAGGAUGGAUGAAGCACAAGAGCCAGAAAGAAAGAAAUAUUCUCUUUUAUUUUCCUGUACCAAAGUGGGAUCUGAAAAAGCUUUACUUUGCCAGGAACUUUUGUGCACUGUAGAACAAGACUGUUAUAGUCCAUAUGUUCAAAGAUAACCCUGGAUUUAUCUUUAAAGCACUCAACAUCCAACCCCCCUCUUCUGUUUUCCCUUUGCUUAGCACCCAGCUCUCUGUGUUGAGUGUGAUGGGUGACCUUUUUAAAGAGAGACAUCAUCAGAAAAAGUUUCCUGACAGCGUCCAUGCUCUUAUGUUUUGGAGCAAAGAGGAAGAAUUGCAACUUGUCACUGGCACAGAAGAGGAAGAAAACAUGACACUCUUGGUAUGCCUAGAAAAGCCUCAGAGGACCUUCAGCCUGAAAUCUUGACAGUUCACUCCCAAUGGUGUUGCAACGACUACCUCAGCUUCCAGCCUGAACUAAAUCCUUCAUCUGGAUCCCCAUGUUUUAUUGAGUCAAUGUGCUGCUUUUUGUCCUAUCUUUCAGGGUCUUUUAAGAGUUCCUAGGUCUUUUGUCUGUCAUUGUAGCAGCUUUCUUCUCUUCACAUACAUUUUGCAUUUGUCAUCCUCUGAUAUAAAUGUCUCGGUGCUUCGUUCUGUGCUGCUUUGUGUUUGUGGAGAGCCUCCCCUGAAAUGGAGAGCUACUCAUGCUCUCCUCCUUCAGAUCUUCUGCCUAAAGAUUCUUCCUAAGGAGGGUAGAUUUAGAUAAUCAGUCAAUUGAACUAAUGAUGGCUAACCUGAGGGUUAGGUAGGAAGUUAGGAAGAGGUUUUUUUUUUUUUUUUAAUUGUAAUAUUUAAAAUAUAGUUUUGUAGUAACAUGUCUUUUAAAAAUGGUAUAAGCUUUAUGUUCCCCUUUUUUUUUUGCCACCCACUUGCUCUGUUUCUGAAUUUCUAUUGAUAUUUUAGGUACAGUCUUCAUUUGAUUUGGCCUUAAAAACAUUUUUCUUAACUAAAUGAAAGCGGUGCUUAAGAACAUCUUAAUUAUGACUCUGAUUUAGAAAAGCUAGCAAUCAUUUUUGUGUUUUUAAGUAUGUGAGUACUCUACUAACAUGCUUAAAAUUAAGCAUGUCCUGAAGAGCUUUGCUGAACUGAACCUAAAAUUUCUGAUGCACUUUCAAUAUAAUUUUUGCCAGUAUGAUUUUGUUACCUUUUUCUUAAUGUUAAAAAAAAAGGGAAAAGAAAGGCAAGGCAAGGCAAGGCAAGGCAAGGCAAGGAGGAGAAAAGGAUUCCUUCUCUGCCCUUCUCUGCCAGAGAUUUUAAAAAUAAGAGCAUUUGAUUAAUCAGAUUAGGCUAUGGGUCAGUUUUUUACCACUUUCAUGGAAAUUUUAUUUCUCAUUUGCCCUUAUUUAAGCAUUAUCACUAAAUUGUCAUGAGGAAGAAGAAAGGUCUAAAUCACUAACAAAGAUGGCAAUAUUCAGCAAGUUCUGUAAAAUGUUAUCAGGUCCAUUCAAUGUGCUUCUGUUACUUAAGAACCCCCAGCAGCCUGGUGUUUCUCGAACUAGGCAUGCCAGAGGAGUUGUAUUUGGAACUGGACCAACUCAAAUACUCCUAAUGCAUGGAAGAGAAGUCACUGAGAGUGUCAUCAGUUAGUGUGCAGAAUUGUUUUAAGCAGAGUUUUGAAAGAGCAGCCUUGGAAAAUAUGCUGCUUUCUGAGAAUGCAGUUUUGUAACAUUAAUAAUUGCUCUGAGUGGUAAAUGACAGAAAAUGAAUUGGACUCAAAUCCUUCACGUCUUCACAGGCCGCAUAACUGAGACAGAGAUUACAUUUGGGUUUUGCAGAGAUGAUUAAUCAAUCAUAUAGUUAGCUGUAGCUGGUGCUUGUCCCAGGUGUUCAAAGCAGUACAUAGUUUUUUUGACUGCUCAGAAUAUUAAAAAAAAAUAAAAAUAUCGGAGUUAAAUGGUUGUUUCUGGAUUAUCUGAAUAAAUUGUUUGAUAACAGCCCACAAUUGUUUUGAAGCAAUUUCAAAUGUAUUCCAUAAAGCACAUUAGAACUGCUGCUUAUCUCCCAGGAUCAAAUGGAUAACCAGAAGGCUUUUGUACACACAUUUGGACAGGUACUGGAGAAAAUGAAAUAGAACCUUAUUUGUAAAUACAAACCCUGUAUCUGAGUCUACCAUCCUGUUAAGUUUAAGUGAAGUAUUUCUGAGCAUUAUGAUUUAUUAUAGAUGUGAUUUAUUUUGCACAGGAACUGGAUGAGCACUGUAGAGGAAAUAGAAUCUAUAAUAAACGCCUCCUAGACAUUCUGCAUCCAUCAGUAGGAUAUGCAUGAAAUUACAAGGGAUGAAACAGUUAGGACAAAGGCAUUGUCAAGAAGGUAUACUGCUGGGAGCAUGGCAUUGCUGCUUUCAAAAGAAGGGGUGUAAUGAAGAAAUAUAUUGACCAGCUGUUACCAGACAGAAAGGUUCAGGAAGAGAAAAGUGUGCUGAAAUUAAAGCUGAUGGCUUUGCAGUUACUGGGGAGGAAAAUGAUUAUGCUUUUUAUUGGCCUGAAGGGGGUGUAAAUGAAAAUGUUACAGUAGAAUGUGAAUCUUUUAAUAUAGAUGAAGAGCUGAGAAUGAGCAAAUGCCAAAUCCCCUCCUAACAAGCUACCUUCAGCCAUGGGGCAAAUACAAAAACCUUCAAAACUGAUUUAUAAAUAUUCAGGGGGAACCACAUUAGGCAUAUGUGGUUUUAUUUUUCAUGAAUCUAUUACAAUGAGCAGUGGUUAAGUAUGUAUGUGGAUAUUUAUAAAUGCAUGUGUAUAUAAAAAUAACUCCGGAUUUAGAAAGACUUUUAAAUAUGUGCUUAAACAAAGCCUGUAUUUUAGUUCUGUUAAACUUAGACCCAUGUUCAAUUCCUUUCCUGAUCUGGGACCCUAGGCAGUUACUUUCAUUUUCUGAGCAUCUUGACAUUACUUGGAACUGGCUCUCCCAAAGACAGUUGCCAUUUUGCAACACAAAGUCAAUAUGAUAUAUUACGGAAGAGUAUAUUCUCAUGAAGACUUUCCUAUUGUUACCAUUUUCUUUCUUUUAUCUGAAAUAGAAAUAACUCAUGUUGAAAAUGCAGCCUAUGUAUACUGGCAAUUAAAAACAAAUCAGGAAAUCACUGUGCUAUAUUAAAUCAUACGUGCCUAGUUAUGAUUUAACAUGUUGGAGAAUGAAAACAAAUUCCACCCUAUUUUGUGAUAGUGAUAACAGUGAUUUAUUUAGUGAUUUAUUUAUUUCUUUAUUAAGAUUGAUUGGUAUACAUACUUAAUGUCUUCAGAGCUCCAGAUUUUACUUCCUGUAAAGGAUUAUUUUAGCUGAAGUGUCAAACACUGCUUUUGUAAACACUAGGCAUCUUAUUCAGAAUAACAUUUUUUUUUUCCAUGCUUAUACCAUUCAUGUAUGCAUCCAAAGAUUCCGGUGGUGAGUGAAAUUAUUGGGAUCCCUUCUAACUAAAUAUAUAGUUCCUGUUUACAGCAAUGUUCUAGGUAAGUUAAAAUGAGAAGUCUUCGAAACCAGCCAGCUUUGCUUUUUUCAGAUGCAAGCAUGGUGUCUUGCAAUUGGCUGUGCUUCUUCAGUAAAAAGGCAGCAAGAGGAGACAUUGAAAACAGAGAGAAUUUGAGAGAAAGGGCAUGUGGUGACCUAACAGCACACUGGGUGCAAAUUCUGCUUUUGGUUUACACUGAAGCAACCAUGCUGAAGUCACUACUGCUGGAAUUAAGCCUUGCUUAUCCAGAUGAUCAAUAAACAAAAAGUAAUUGAUGCUACAGAACCUCAAAGUGGAGGAAAUAACCAAAAAAUGCUGAUGUGGGCUAUUCAGACCAGUUUCUUGGCUGUUCACAUCAAAGCAAGUUAAUUCACUUGUUUUUUUACAGAACUGUUUCAGCUGUUGCUUCUCUCUCUAAGCAGUGAGAUUAUGUAAAAUAUUUUCUAUGAAUAAGCACAGAGUCAUGAGGCUUGGAUCCAAAGAACCAUUAUACAUGUAGUCUUGUUGAUGAAGUCUGUCAGGGGGAAUUAAUACUGGAAAGGAUGGUGCUUAUUAUUAAUACUAGCCUCUGAGGGGAUAUUGAAAAGGGCCUAAGUGUAGAUGGCAAAUUCAUAUGACUGCAAUACAAUAUGGCAGCAGAAAAAGGACAUUGUAACUUGAUGCUGCUCACAGAGAAGCUGUAUCAGAGAGGAAGGAGAGAGCUGCGGAAAAGCGCCAAUGCAAACAGUACCUGGAAUUCCAUUUUUAGCUUGCUGGCCAGGAUGUAUUGCUGGGUAGGGGUCAUGCAUAGAGCAGCAAAGUAUCUGGGAAAUAUUUAAGAGAAGGCUGAAGUCUUAGAAUGUGUUGUUUUGCUGAGAAUGGCUGAAGAGAAACAUACUUCAAAAGUAAAGAUUUAAAUGCAAAAGAAAUGCAGGGAUAACAAUUGAACAACAUAUGAAGGGUCUCAAUACAAGGGCAGCAAUAAGAGCCUAGCCUCAGGGGCACCUCAGUGACUUUGGUGACUUAAUAUCCAUUUUUCUCAGCUUUUAACAUGUAGACUAGCUGCCAGGAAUGAGUUGACUGCAGAAACUAUCUCAGGUCAGUUGUGGUACCUGAAAUUAGCCUGGUCAAACUAUUAGGAAUACAGACUGCCGAGGUUAUGGCUUCAGGCAUAGGCUGAUUGUAGCAGGAACCAUUGGAGCCUGUCUCAGUGAAGCUGGCGAGGCAGCCUGAGAGCUCGCGCACCAGUGAAGCCCCUCGUUCUUUGGGUGGUAUCACUCAAGAUGGACAGGGCCAACUUGCUGUGCAGGCAGAGCAGGCGGUAGCCAGCAGUAGCAGAGCCAGCAGCGUUGCCUAUGCCAAAGGGCACAAGGGUUGUUUGUAAGAGGAGUGCAUGCUGCAUAAACAGCAAAUUCCUGCCUCCUCCUCCUCCGCUCUGCUGCCAAAGAAGAGGGUGAGAGUUUGCCAAAUGAAAGCAGUACUAAUCCCUUUUACACAGAUACCUGAAGAAAGCUCCACUGAUUCAUCUUGUCUUGACCCUCAUAUACCAGGACCUCUCCAGAUUUGCCCAGCCCCACCAUCCUGCCCCACUGUCCAUUAACCGGUGUUAAGACUUUCAGUUGGCUGGUGUGCUGAGUUGCUUUGGUCUUCUCUGAUGACCAGCUUCCUUACAACAACUUCCCCAACACCUUUUACUUCUCCCUGUACAUUAAGUCGCUUCGUGGGAUUUUAUUUUACCACCCGAAAGGGAGAUUAGUCACAUGAGAUUAAUUUUUACUGCUCUGAAGGGACAUCCUAGUUUGUUAUAGCUGAAUUUGUGUAGUAACUUUCACCUGGUAAAAUUGGGCCCAGGCUAGGUCUGUGCAAGCCAACAGAACAGCUCAGGGGAAGUGAGUCUGUAGACCAAAAUGAUACUGAGUGCCUCAUAGACAUGCUUCAUGCAUUUGCAGGCUUUUGUACUCAAAUCUCUUCUGAUACACUCUGGAAGUUAAAUACCCAGUAGCAAUUGAAGUGCGACAGGCCUGCACCUUCUGGUUUAGUUCUGUCUGGAAGGAAAUCUGUUCGUGCAUUUUGAAGUGGCUCCACAACAGAACCCAAAGCCGAGAAAGUGGGGGUGAUUUGAAUUAAAACUCUGAUGUGGAUGCACCCUCAGGCAUCUAUGUUUUCAAAAUAUUCUUAAGAGCCUCUUCUAGGAGAUUUGGUUUUAAAAAUUCUUGGGAAAGAACAAAUUGUAUCUGUCAGUUUGCUUUUAUCUACCAUUGUAUUAAUUCUUUCAAAGAAUUUUAAUAGGAUAAAGAGAUGCAUUUACUAUUACAGCAGCUGAAUUGUUUAUUUCUUAUCAUUUUAUAUUAAUCUGUGGUGGUUUGCAGCACUCUAUUCAAUUAUUGUUCUCAGUUGUUUUUCUUUGCACUGAAAUAAGAAGACCAUAAACAGAGCCCACAAACACACUUAUAAUAAUAUUUACUGUGUAAAGCAUCUCAUUUCAAUCUAUCAAAUGAAGAGUUUGUUUUAUGAUUGGAAUUUGAAAGAUCACUGCCAGCUUUUUUUGCCAUCUGAAUGUUUGUACCAGUUCGAACAGAGAGCACCUUGCAGAAUAGAUGGUGAAUAAAAUCUUCCCAUUCAAAGAGACCAGGAGAUUGGGUACAAGAUCAGAUUCCACAUCUGGAAGAUGUCUGUUUAUCUUAGCAUCUUUUCUGAGUCUAAGUGUAAUUGCCGUGGUUCAGCAGGACAACAGGGAGUGUAAGCACAGAAAAGAGUGGGUUUCCUAUGAAAAUGUGUGAGGUGGUGGUGGGCAUUGAUAAAACUCAAUAGACUUAGCAAGGAUCUGCUACUGAGAAAGACAAAGUUUGAAUGUCUCUUCUAUGGGCCAAAACUGCGGAGAAUGGAGAAGGGGCUCAGGAGCUGAGCUGCAAGAAAAGAGCCUAGAACUCUGAAGCAAGGACUUCUCUUCAAUUUUGGGUUCAUGCAAUGGGACCAUCUUUGCAUCUUGUUAUUCUUUCACCCUUUCUUUGACCUCUAGUGAUCAUAUUAAACUAAACAAAGCUGACUCUCAGAAAGUUGAGAUUUCCCAGCAUAUCCCUUUUCAGCAGCUAGAAGCUGACAGUGCAAGGGCCUUCUCUGUGUGCAACAAGACUCAUUACAAUGAAAGUCUAUGAACUCUCGCUCUCCUACUGUGUGUUACCCUCAUUGUAGAUCACCUCAAUGGCAACUGCAGAAACAGUAGUUCCUAAAUAAAGGAAGCUAUAAUUGUGAACAGGAAAAUAAGGGGAAAUAAGUUGUUCUUUCGAUGCAGGAGAUGUCAUAAAACGCAACAAGGGAACACUGGCAGUGGGUUAAAUUUAAACUGCGGAGCUCUAGUAGAUGCUGAGGAAGAGACAGCACAAAAUAGGCUGGAGUAAAAAGCAUAGUUAAUCCAAUAGUACCAUCUUCCUCGUGCGUUUUACAAGGGGACAAAUAAUGAAUUUUGAUUUUUUUAGGUCUGACGAAGCCAAAUUCUAGAAGAAGUCAAGGUUAUUCCUAGUUUCUCUCCAGCAACAGGAAUGUUCAUCUGAUACGAUAUGAUCUCUCUUUCCCAUCUACAAUGCACAAUGGAAUCCUCUUUAGCCAUAUUUUAAAGGUAUUAGUGAAAGCAUGAAGACAACUGGAAAAAUUGUGAAGAGAAAGUGCCAAACCAAAUGAAGUAACUUCUUUAGAAACAUUCUUAAGCAAAGCUUCAAGUGCAACUCAGGACAUCAUGUAGGGGAAAUAAGAUACUGGAUAGAAGAUAAGUUUUCUUCUGAAACAUCAAAUGAGAUGGUGAAUCAGCAAGAUACAGAAAUGUACAAAUAUUUGAGGCAGGAGGUGCUGCAGAGUAGUCUCUGUGAAAAUUAUAUAGCUAUUUACUUUUAUACUUUCUGAAUGAAACUGACUUUAGGUCUUUUAAUACAGAUGCACAAAUAAUCUUCUGGUAAUUGUAUUUACCUAUGAAUAGUAGGUUUAGAGCAUGUUCCAUUGUUAAAGACCGGGAUCAAUUGCUGCUUACCAAGCAAGUUAUGAUUUUUGAAAUGUAUAUCUUAUUUAUUUAUAAAAUUCUGGCUUGAUUAGGAUGUAAAAAGAUUUUCUUUUUUUCCCCCAGACAAAAAUGUCA
Anas platyrhynchos (mallard) is the source of this 8744-nucleotide long non-coding RNA. RefSeq lists it as uncharacterized. Lineage: Eukaryota; Metazoa; Chordata; Aves; Anseriformes; Anatidae. The record is from RefSeq and is a predicted model, not a curated record.